GAUGCUGAACGUGAAGGAUAACGUUGCGUCAGCAACGGCCCGAAGGGCGAGGCAAAGCCGAGUCAUCCUGCACGACCUACCA
RNAcentral lists this small RNA (82 nucleotides) under Klebsiella pneumoniae. Its description in RNAcentral is "partial RtT sRNA". It matches the Rfam family "RtT RNA", at positions 45 to 130 of the family's 130-position model. From Rfam's summary of the family: This family represents a bacterial cis-regulatory element known as RtT RNA. The exact function of RtT is unknown although it is thought that it may be involved in changing the cellular response in relation to amino acid starvation. Lineage: Bacteria; Pseudomonadati; Pseudomonadota; Gammaproteobacteria; Enterobacterales; Enterobacteriaceae. The record is from RNAcentral.